GACGAACGCUGGCGGCGUGCCUAAUACAUGCAAGUAGAACGCUGAAGAGAGGAGCUUACUCUUCUUGGAUGAGUUGCGAACGGGUGAGUAACGCGUAGGUAACCUGCCUUGUAGCGGGGGAUAACUAUUGGAAACGAUAGCUAAUACCGCAUAACAAUGGAUGACACAUGUCAUUUAUUUGAAAGGGGCAAUUGCUCCACUACAAGAUGGACCUGCGUUGUAUUAGCUAGUAGGUGAGGUAAUGGCUCACCUAGGCGACGAUACAUAGCCGACCUGAGAGGGUGAUCGGCCACACUGGGACUGAAGCACGGCCCAGACUCCUACGGGAGGCAGCAGUAGGGAAUCUUCGGCAAUGGGGGCAACCCUGACCGAGCAACGCCGCGUGAGUGAAGAAGGUUUUCGGAUCGUAAAGCUCUGUUGUAAGUCAAGAACGGGUGUGAGAGUGGAAAGUUCACACUGUGACGGUAGCUUAACAGAAAGGGACGGCUAACUACGUG
This 497-nucleotide ribosomal RNA is filed under the name uncultured bacterium. RNAcentral's name for it is "partial 16S ribosomal RNA". It matches the Rfam family "Bacterial small subunit ribosomal RNA", at positions 28 to 507 of the family's 1533-position model. The record is from RNAcentral.